RNAcentral lists this ribosomal RNA (253 nucleotides) under uncultured bacterium. Its description in RNAcentral is "partial 16S ribosomal RNA". It matches the Rfam family "Bacterial small subunit ribosomal RNA", at positions 524 to 776 of the family's 1533-position model. The record is from RNAcentral.
UACAUAGGUGGCAAGCGUUGCUCGGUAUCACUGGGCUUAAAGGGCGCGUAGGCGGUGCGGUGCGUUUUCGGUGAAAUCCCUCGGCCCAACCGAGGAACAGCCGGGGCUACGGCCGCGCUAGACGGCAUCAGGGGACAGUGGAACUCCCGGUGGAGCGGUGAAAUGCGUAGAUAUCGGGAGGAACGCCGGUGGCGAAAGCGACUGUCUGGGGUGCAUGUGACGCUGAGGCGCGAAAGCCAGGGGAUCAAACGGG